AGCUUGUUUCAAGGUGUCAUCUGGCAAAUCGCGCCGCUUAGGUACGCGUUUCUGCGAUUUGUUUAUCUUUUAAACAAACUAAGCAAAACUAAAGUA
Long non-coding RNA from Maniola jurtina (meadow brown), 96 nucleotides. RefSeq lists it as uncharacterized. The transcript has 3 exons. Lineage: Eukaryota; Metazoa; Arthropoda; Insecta; Lepidoptera; Nymphalidae. The record is from RefSeq and is a predicted model, not a curated record.